Molecule: small nucleolar RNA, 118 nt
Filed under: Nannospalax galili (Upper Galilee mountains blind mole rat)
Lineage: Eukaryota; Metazoa; Chordata; Mammalia; Rodentia; Spalacidae
Description: Small nucleolar RNA SNORA5 (ENSNGAG00000007813.1)
Rfam family: Small nucleolar RNA SNORA5
About the family: ACA5 is a member of the H/ACA class of snoRNA that guide the sites of modification of uridines to pseudouridines.
Source: Rfam by way of RNAcentral
UGCAGUCAAGUCAAAUUCAGUUCCCAUCCUGUCUUGGUGGGAGCUGGCCAAGAUGGACACCCAUGGGUCCUGUGUCCCCUGCCCUGGGACCUGGGGAUAAGUUUGGCUGCAGACAUUG